AACGAACGCUGGCGGCAGGCUUAACACAUGCAAGUCGAACGGGCUGGGGGCUUCGGUCCCCGAUGCUCGUGGCGCACGGGUGUGUAACACGUGGGAAUAUGCUCUUUAUUACGGUAUAACCAAGUGAAACUUUUGCUACUACCGUAUAAGCCCUUCGCGGGCUAGAUUUAUCGCUAAAGGAUUAGGCCGCGUCUGGUUAUGUAGUUGGUGAUGUACUGGCUCACCAAGGCGACGUUCCGUAGCUGGUCUGUGAGGAUGAUCAGCCACAAUGGGACUGAGACACGGCCCAGACUGCGACGGGAGGGAGCAGUGGAGAAUAUUGGGCAAUGGGGGCAACCCUGAUCAAGCCAUGCCGCGUGAGUGAAGAAGGCGUUCGGGUUGUAAAGCCCCUUCGACGGGGACGAUGAUGACGGUACCCGUAAAAGAAGCCCCGGCAAACUUCGUG
This 445-nucleotide ribosomal RNA is filed under the name uncultured bacterium. RNAcentral describes it as "partial 16S ribosomal RNA". It matches the Rfam family "Bacterial small subunit ribosomal RNA", at positions 29 to 507 of the family's 1533-position model. The record is from RNAcentral.